RNA transcript from Harpia harpyja (harpy eagle), 6518 nucleotides. It is a transcript of the gene named RAB23, member RAS oncogene family, with no coding region annotated. The transcript is spliced from 8 exons. The record is from RefSeq and is a predicted model, not a curated record. NCBI's taxonomy places the organism in Eukaryota, Metazoa, Chordata, Aves, Accipitriformes, Accipitridae.
AGCCCCCAGCCCCGCGUUCGCCUAGUCCCUGAGGAACGCCCCGGCCGCCUCCCGCCGCCGCCUGAGGGCCGGGGGGGGGGGGAGCCGCCGCCGCCGCGGGGGCGGAGGCAGCGGCAGCGAGCGAGCGGGCGGGCGCCUCCCCGAGCGGCGCCCCCGGUCCUGACGGCGUUUCCGGGCGGGGGAGCCGGGAUGUGCGUCCGGGUUGGGUCGGCCCCCGCGAGCGGUUUCCUCUCGCCUUCCCUCCUGCUCCCCUUCCCUGCCUCCCUCCCUCGCCGUCGCUGAGGUGGAGCCGCCGCCGUGCCCUCUGAGGGAGCGCCGCCCGCCCGCCCGCUCCUGCAAGGGAAUCAGUAGUUUCCUGAAUAAGCUAGAGAGUCACUUGGGCUGCAGAGAUGUUGGAAGAAGAUAUGGAGGUGGCCAUCAAGGUGGUGGUAGUAGGAAAUGGAGCUGUUGGAAAGUCCAGUAUGAUUCAGCGAUAUUGCAAGGGGAUUUUUACAAAAGACUACAAGAAAACUAUUGGUGUAGAUUUCCUGGAAAGACAAAUCCAAGUUAAUGAUGAAGAUGUCAGGCUAAUGUUAUGGGACACUGCGGGUCAAGAAGAAUUUGAUGCAAUAACUAAGGCCUACUAUCGAGGAGCCCAGGCUUGUGUUCUUGUGUUUUCUACAACUGACAGAGAGUCCUUCAAAGCAAUCCCUACCUGGAAGGAGAAAGUCAUGACUGAAGUUGGAGACAUUCCCACAGUUCUGGUGCAGAAUAAGAUUGAUCUUCUUGAUGACUCUUGUAUAAAGAAUGAAGAGGCAGAAGCCCUGGCAAAAAAGCUAAAAUUAAGGUUCUACCGAGCAUCGGUGAAGGAAGACCUAAACGUAACAGAAGUUUUUAAGUAUUUGGCUGAUAAGUAUCUUCAAAGGCUCAAGCAACAAACAGCUGAAGAUCCAGAACUAGCACACACAAGUAGUAACAAGAUUGGUGUUUUUAAUACAGCUGGUGGAAGUCACUCCAACCAAAAUUCUAGCACUCUUAAUGGUGGAGAUGUCAUCAACCUUAGACCAAACAAACAGAGGACCAAGAAAAACAGAAGUCCUUUUAGCAACUGCAGCAUACCUUAGACCACUUUUGGAGGAGGAAAAAAAAAAACCACCCAGUGAACUGGAUGAAGUUGUGCAAUUGAGUACAGAUUAAAGCCAGCUGUAGAGGUAUUUUUACCAGUGCUUUAGCAAAUCUUGUGCCUAUGGGAUCCUUGAUAGAGCGUGGAUUUACAUCAACUUGCUGAUGCAGUGUUUUUUGGUGUGUAGAGUGAGGCACCUGCUGGCAAAACACAGAACUGUGGCUGCCGCGUGCACUUUGUAAAAAUUACGCAAGCUUCUCCUUUUUCAAGGAAUUAUUUACAGAGCUAUGAACUAGGUAUUGCUGAACUGCAAAGCACAUUUAACAUAAGGAUAAUACUUACAACUGUAGGUACAGACCAUAACACUAUGGCCCAAGGUAAAGUAGCAACCUUGCAACUAAAUUUCAAAAAAGAUGUUAGAAUUGGUUAGUCAGGACACUAAGAAGAUAAAUGAAGAGCAAAAAGUAGGCACUGCAUUUUAUGCCUGACUAUAUUAAUAUGGAUUCUGGCAGUUCUGUUGGUGCAAUAUACUUGUAUUAUAUAUAUGAGUGCUAAGGUAUAUAUGUAAACAUUUGCUAUGAAUAUUUAGGCUAAAUUCCAGUGUAUGCAUUAUUUGGAGAUCAGCUAAUGAUCAUAAAAUAGCAUCUUCCAAAAAAAAAUUUGACUUUAAAAAUGUUGCAUUUUAGAUGAGGCUUUCCCAGCUGCCACUGUGUACGUUUAACUUGCUAUACUUUGGGCCUAAAAGCUUAGAUUUAAAAAUGUAUGGUGCCAGAACUGCUCCUUCUUUUUACCUAAUGCUGUGCUACGGAUGUUUUUGUAAGUUUGUUUUUCUCAGUCUUAACAGGUUGAACAAAUAACACAGUCUUUGACACUAACAGCUAUUCAGAAGGAACAUAUAAUCACAUUCCUGUUCAAAUUUAAUUGUUGCAUCCUGUGUUGUCUAUGAAAAAGGAACUUGCAAAGUGGUGUCACAAAAUAUUUAUCUUCUUUGGAAAAUCUUUUCAUAGAUACCAUAAACUAAGUUAUGGAGGAUCCAAAAAAAUGCAGCUGAUGACUGAAUUACACGAACGAGACUUUCUUGAAUGUUGUCUCAGAUUCAGAGUUAGCUGCUGCUUACAGAAAAUCUAAUUCUGCAAGAUCAGAGACAUGGCAAAAAUUUUUUAAAGUGCUUAAGUAAUUUUACAGAAUUGAUUUCGAUGUUUAGGAGCCCAAAUCUAAAGUAAAGUUAUUUGGACUUAGGCUCCUAAAUCACUAAGGUGCUUUUAAAAAUGCUAAGCAAGAUAUCUUUUAUUUACCAAAAAUAAAUACUUUCUAAUCCUCUUCAAGAGCAUGCAUGCCUUUUAAAAAGUAUCCAUUUUGUUUACAUGUUUUUGUAUGGUAUGAUAUAAUUUUAACUUUCUGGGAUUUCUACAACAAACCUGCCAGUGACAAAUGCAAAAUAUGCUGCUUUAAAAAAUUCAGAGUUUUAAUAGUUUUUUAAAUGGUGUAUGAGAAUGAAAAUGAGUCGAGUGAUCCUGUAUAUUUUUGGAGGAAGGACUUUUCACUGUGUGAAUUCAUGUAGGAAGCUUGACUUACUUUGUUUGUAAGUCAAUGAGUGUGAAAACUGAAAUGUACUUUUUCCCACUGUCUGGCAAGUUAUGCACAAACACUAAAGAUCUCUGAACUCUGUAUUUUAUGUUUACUAUAUUAGACUUUCUACCAAGUACCAUUGUUUCUUUGACAAGCUGUUAGAGCAUCUCCUGUUGCUGGCAAGAAGGCAGCCUUCAAGGCACUUGAUCCCCUUUGCUAAUGCAGCAAAACUGUGUGUUCUUCACCGUAAUGUUUCCUGUAUUUUCUCUUGGAUAAAGGCCUUUAUUUUUUAACAAGUGCAUUUAUUUAAUCACUGUAUGUAUGUAUAAAUGGAGUCAAGUCCUAUCUGUCUCAGCAAUUUAAGAAGUAAGGUACUUAGGACAAGACUGCCAAUUGCACGUGAUGGGGCCACCUUACAAUUUCAGGAUGUAGGAUAGAGUGUAUGCAUGAAGAAUUUUGACAACUGUUUUUAAUAUGGAACCUUUUACAUUUUGUUGUCUGUCUGCCAGUUUCAUGGUUUUUAUUAAUUUUUCUUGAAAAAGAAACAAAACCACAAAGUGUCUGAAACAUCUUUUUUGCCUUGUUUGUACAGAGUACUGAAAAAUAAGUCUUUAUUACAUAUAAUGAGCAUUUGUACUAUCACGUUACACUGUAGACAUUGUACUAUUACGUAAGCCAUUUCUAUUCAAGGUCUGUCAUUAUAAACCACUGUUCUAAGGACUGAAAACUCAGUAGAAAUUUUCCUAGGUGGAGACUUGACAGACUUGCUAAAUUUAAGGUAUGUUGAAAUUUAGUACACAUACUUUAACGUAGAAAUAUAUAUUUGUAGCAUUGGGUAACAGUGAGUUUUCAUUUCAUUCCCAUCUUAAAUCUAAAGUUUUUUUGUUGUCACUUUGUAGUGCUUGUUCUCCAAUAUGACUUGAGAUGGAGACUGUCGAAAUUAGCAUUCUCCUGGAGCGUGCUCUCCAUGUAGGCUGCUUGAAAAUUUAUUUUUUAUCCUACUGGGGUCAGUGUGUAGAUGUAAACCAGAUGACUUGCAUAUUGCAGGAAUCCUUAGGUCAUCACCUCACUCUUCAGUGGGAGUAACUUUCACCUUUUGGAUGAAGAGACAUGCCUAAAUGUUUAGCACUCACUCGCAUUGUCCCUUGUGAAUAAUUUUUAUGACAAACAUUGUCCCAUUCUCCACUCAAAGCAUUCUCAUUAAAAUACCAUGUAUUUUAGUUACCAAAACCCACAGGUGCAGAGCUGGCAAUAAAAGUGCCCUUCUCUGUGCAUCUCUGUGACUGCAUGGCGGGAGUGAAUGUGGCUGGCUGUUACACCCGUGGCAGACUGGCAUCCUGGAUUAGGAGCAACAGAUGUUCUGCCACAAGACACGGAGUUUUGUUCUGUGAGACUAAGCUAAUUGCACUUCCUGUUUUAUCUGUUAGUAUCUCUUCAAUAGCUGAUUGGCAGUAUUAUCUGAAUCUUGCCAAAAUUCUUUGCUUUCGGCUGAUAAUGCUACCACUAGCAGAAAACUUCAGUAGUUGUUAAUGCCUUAGUGAAAUAAGCCUUCACUAACAAGUAUGACACUAACGCAUCUGUCACUCCCAUGUUGUAUCCAUUCAGUGAAUGGGUGUUCUCCCAGUAAGCGGGGCAUCAUUUGAUGCAAAGUGGUAAUGUCAGGGAGGUAUUUCCAACUGGAAAUAACAAAUCUCAAAGUUGUAAGACUGAUCACACUAAGAUUUUUGUGCUUGUGUGUGCAUGGUUAAUUUAAAAAAAAAAAAUUAAACAUUCCACUUAAGACAAUUUUGGAGCUUUCUUAUUUUCAGUGUUUCUUAAGGCAACGCUUACCUUUUUUAGUCAAAAUACCAGAAUUACCAUACUGUCAGUCUGAUUUCCUGUUCAAUUUUUUUAUGCCUCUGUAAAAUUUGUCUUUUUUUUUUUUUUUCCCCCAUUAUUGGGCUACAGCAUACCUGACAUAGUUCUCCUUUGCAUCACUUCUGUAGAUGUACAUUAUACUGAAGGGAAUUGAGCAGCUGAACAUGUUGUACUGCCUGGAGGUUAUGCAGGGGUGUGUGCGUAAUAUUCAGUGAACAUGCACUUUGAACCUGUUAAUUCAUCUAUUCAAGUUGAUAGCUACCAAUUAAUAACAGAAUUAAUGAUUUGCACUGCAGAACCCUCUUGUGGGAAUUCAGUCAAACUAACAAAGCAUGCUUCUUGGAUUCCAGUGACAGUACCUAAGCUCCUACUGCUUUUCUAAAAUAAAUGUAAUCAUAGAACUUCAGCUGAAGUUGCAGUACCUGAACACUAAUUGUACAUAAACCAGAGAGCAAGCGUGGUCCAACGGGCUUGAUUUCAUCAAAACUACCUUACCAUCUUUUUGUAGGAAGCAACAGUCAUGCGUGUCUUCUUUUAAAUGCUCAAAUAGUAUUGGCAGAAGAAAAUACUUCUCUCUGCUAAAUAUUGCAUCCAAACAGGUAAUCAAAAUUGUAGAAGAAAAAAUGCAGCAAUGCUUAGAUUUAAGAUGAAAGGUGCUAUAAUAGAAGAAGAGAAACUUUCAAACAGUUCCAUGUCGAAGUGCUCUAUAUGAGUCAUCUCAAAGCCAGGUGAGCCCUAGUACUGAACUAGAGUCACUCUCAGGUUUCUAGUAGUAGGGUAAUACUGAUAAAUAAUUUGUGGACUGAGAAUUCUUUCUUCUCUAACCGAGAUAAAUGUGGUUCAGCAGAACCGACAGAAGUUGGUCAAAAAAAGUAAAAAUUCUGGACCUGGAGAAAUACUGCUGUCAUUGUGAGGAUGAAGAUGCAUCGUGACUAAUAAAUUACUUGCUCUUAUUUGCAAGUUCAUGUGAAUCUGAGUGGUUAAAACAGCUGUGCAACCUCAAUCUGCUGGAGAAACUCGUGUGCCUGAUUCUAAUCCACGUAUUGCAAACAGUUGGGAUCCAAGGCACUACAUUAGGUACCCUCAAAGGAACAAGUGUGGGCACCCCAAUCUAAUAGAGAUGCUGUUUCUGAGCUCUUGCCUCUGAUUUCUUCACCACAUAGUUCAAAUACAAAGUAUGGAUUCUGUUCUGCUUUCUGGUCAUUUUAUUUUUCAUGAUUGGUCUGGCUCAUACAGUGACAGGGUUUAAUUGAAUGGUUGUAGACACUGGAAGUGGCAUUGAAAUAUUACUAAUAUAUCAAAGAUGCCUGAUGCGUUUUCUGAAAAGGUAAAUAGUCACUGGUGGGUUUUGUUUGGUUGGGGUUUUUGUUUGGUUUGGUUUUGGUUUUUUUUCUUUUUUAGUAAAACACAACUCAGCAUCUGGGUCUGCCUCUUUACCCAGGUAUCUCAGGAAUCUGGGAAGUAACGCACUCCUGCUUCCUCUUGCGUGCAGUUUUGCACACAGAAAACAAUUUGCUUGCUUAAGACCCCAAUAAGGAUUAAUUAGCAAUGUUUUAGGUAAGAAAAAAAUACUGAUGUGAGAAAACUCCUGUUUUUAUGGUCAUGUAUUUUUAUGUGGGAACUGUUUAACUGCAAUUAAGUGAAGACCUUGAGAAAACUGAAGCUUUGACACUAUCUAGGUGGAGGUUUUUAUGUGCUGCGCAGCCGUAUCAUGUUCAGCUUCAGGAAGCUGGGUGGCCAUUCAGUGUGGCUUCUGCUGCCAGCCCCCAAGACACCCCCUGCAGGCGCCUGCGUACUUUCUUGCAUCUCUGAGAAAAUGUUUCAUACUCACAAAUGUCCCAUUUCCGAGACCGAGGCACAGCCUAUUUUAUUGCUCAGGAGAUAACGGGACCAGAAGGUCACUGGUUUUUCUUGCACCUUCUUUGUCCCAGCUGUCUUACGCCUGCUGAGCUUUGCCUACUGUCUUUUGAUUUUUGACAACAGAGCACUU